Molecule: long non-coding RNA, 546 nt
Filed under: Nicotiana benthamiana
Lineage: Eukaryota; Viridiplantae; Streptophyta; Magnoliopsida; Solanales; Solanaceae
Description: long non-coding RNA (NBEN_LNC040544)
Source: RNAcentral
CAAUUGCCCAUAUAGUAAUUGUUUCUCCUCUCUUGAUCUUCUAUGUCCAUGUUUGUCCUUUACCAUUCUGGCACCUUUAGUUUUCUUUUCUUUCGUGCUUGUGCUUGAAUGAUUUCGUCGUUCAAGUCCCAAUAGGGCUUAUACUCUUACACGAUCAUCCACUAUUCUACAAAUCACUUAAGAUUCUUAAUCCUCAUGUUUUUUUUUUUGUUAUUAGAUGGACUUAAUGUGGACCUCUUGUUUUAAUUUGAAUAUGUGCGUCAGUACCUGAAAUACUUUUUAGCCCCAAGUUUCAGAAAAAGAAUGGGGAUUUGGAUGAGAUUUGAACAUUACAUUUCUAGGAUGCAAGGCAUUAGGCAGCGAGUGUGAUCUUAUAGCACUUUAGAUUUGUAGGAUGUCACAGUAUUUAAGUUUUUUUGAACUAUUAUUGCGUAUAUAGUACUUUUGAGUUUUGACAUAUGAAUCAAACUACUGAAUGAUAUAUGCAUCACUAUAAUUUAUCUCGUGAUAAAAGGCACAACUCAUGCUAUUUCUAGCCCUUAUAUA